This 275-nucleotide ribosomal RNA is filed under the name uncultured prokaryote. RNAcentral describes it as "partial 16S ribosomal RNA". It matches the Rfam family "Bacterial small subunit ribosomal RNA", at positions 355 to 627 of the family's 1533-position model. The record is from RNAcentral.
UGAGGAAUAUUGGUCAAUGGGCGGAAGCCUGAACCAGCCAUGCCGCGUGCAGGACGACGGCCCUACGGGUUGUAAACUGCUUUUCCGGGGGAAGAAUAAGGGCGACGUGUCGCCCGAUGCCGGUACCCCGGGAAUAAGGAUCGGCUAACUCCGUGCCAGCAGCCGCGGUAAUACGGAGGUUCCGAGCGUUAUCCGGAUUUACUGGGUUUAAAGGGUGCGUAGGCGGGCCCCUCAGUCGGCGGGGAAAGUCUGCGGCUCAACCGUAGGAUUGCCGU